GGACACGUCUACUGCGCCAAACUGACUGUCUUGUGUCUGCCCCGGCGCUUAGGACAGUAUUCAACACCUGGUAUGAAUCAUGGCAGGAUGGUGAAAACGGGUGAUUUGCUGUCUGAAGGCCAAGCAUGGCUGUGAUUAAAGGAUAUAAGUGCAUGAUUCCAAGAUUUACUUCCUUCCUGCUCCGGCCAGGAUAUCUGAGAUGAACUGAGGCCCAGAGAGGUUAUGUGGCAGACCCAAGGUCUCCCACACAGCAGCUCAGGGGAGAUCUGGGCCCAGGAUCCCGGUCUCCUGAGUUCCAGCCUCGAGCUCCUCCCCAUUUGCCGUGCUUCAGUCUUCUCGCCGAUCCAUCAAACAGCGGGGGCCGGGAGGAGAUCGGAACGGCUUCUCGGAGACGUCGCCACGAUCCAUUUGGGAAUGAAGAAUUCCGUUGGCCUGGAUUCCACCCCCACCCAGGAAGCUCCAUCAACCUGACAUUCCUCCGUCUGGGCUUGUUCUCAAGGUCGCCGAGGCCAUUUUUCUUAGAACCCUCCGUCUUCUCCAGGAUAAUAGCACUAAAGCCCAUCAGUCAUUAUCUCCUAGGCCUCAAUUUUCCUUUGGGCUUCCUGCAAUUUUAAUCUCAAGUUGUCAAGCUGCUUUUCCACAGAGACUUAAGUGGCCCAAUUUACAUCCAAUUUUCAACUAAUAUUUAUU
This is a long non-coding RNA of Tachyglossus aculeatus (Australian echidna), 690 nucleotides long. RefSeq lists it as uncharacterized. The transcript has 3 exons. The record is from RefSeq and is a predicted model, not a curated record. Lineage: Eukaryota; Metazoa; Chordata; Mammalia; Monotremata; Tachyglossidae.